This 129-nucleotide small RNA is filed under the name Marmota monax (woodchuck). Lineage: Eukaryota; Metazoa; Chordata; Mammalia; Rodentia; Sciuridae. The record is from RNAcentral.
GCCAGGCAUGGUGGCGCAUGCCUGUAAUCCCAAAGGUUUGGGGGGCUGAGGCAAGAGGAUUGUGAGUUCGAAGCCAGCCUCAGCAACAGUGAGGCACUAAGCAACUCAGUGAGACCGAUUCUGUCUCUA